RNAcentral lists this ribosomal RNA (253 nucleotides) under uncultured bacterium. Its description in RNAcentral is "partial 16S ribosomal RNA". It matches the Rfam family "Bacterial small subunit ribosomal RNA", at positions 524 to 776 of the family's 1533-position model. The record is from RNAcentral.
UACGUAGGGUGCGAGCGUUGUCCGGAAUUAUUGGGCGUAAAGAGCUCGUAGGCGGUUUGUCACGUCUGCUGUGAAAUCCCGAGGCUCAACCUCGGGCCUGCAGUGGGUACGGGCAGACUGGAGUGCGGUAGGGGAGAAUGGAAUUCCUGGUGUAGCGGUGGAAUGCGCAGAUAUCAGGAGGAACACCGAUGGCGAAGGCAGUUCUCUGGGCCGUUACUGACGCUGAGACGCGAAAGCGUGGGGAGCAAACAGG